This 69-nucleotide transfer RNA is filed under the name Curculionoidea sp. 1 KM-2015. Its description in RNAcentral is "tRNA-Arg". Lineage: Eukaryota; Metazoa; Arthropoda; Insecta; Coleoptera. The record is from RNAcentral.
GAUCAAGAAGACAAAAAUUUGCACUUAAUUUCGACUUAAGCCUUGAUAAUUUCAUAUUAUCCUUGUUCA